UUGAAACUUUGUACGAAUUAGACCUUUCAAAUAAUCAUUUCUCUGGAAAAAUUCCGGACUGUUGGAGCCAUUUCAAGUCAUUAACUUAUUUGGACUUAAGUCACAAUAAUUUUUCAGGAAGGAUACCCACAUCCAUGGGAUCUCUUCUUCAUCUUCAAGCAUUGCUAUUGAGAAACAACAACUUAACAGAUGAGAUACCUAUCUCCUUGAGGAGUUGUACAAAUCUAGUAAUGCUAGAUAUUUCAGAAAACAGAUUAUCAGGGCUUAUCCCUGCUUGGAUUGGGAGCGAAUUACAAGAGUUGCAAUUUUUAAGUUUGGGAAGAAAUAAUUUCCAUGGAAGUUUACCAUUGCAAAUUUGCUACCUAAGUGACAUUCAACUCUUGGAUGUGUCACUAAACCGCAUGUCUGGGCAAAUUCCUAAAUGCAUAAAAAAUUUUACUUCAAUGACUCAAAAGACAUCUUCAAGAGAUUAUCAAGGUCAUUCAUAUCUUGUCAAUACCAUUGGCAUUUAUUAUUAUUAUACAUAUGAUUUGAAUGCACUCUUGAUGUGGAAAGGUUCAGAACAAAUGUUCAAAAAUAAUGUGUUACUACUUUUAAAAAGCAUUGAUCUCUCAAGCAAUCACUUUUCUGGAGAAAUUCCACUGGAAAUAGAGGAUUUAUUUGGAUUGGUUUCAUUGAAUUUAUCAAGAAACCAUUUGACCGGAGCGAUUCCUUCAAAUAUUGGAAAGUUAACAUUACUUGACUUUCUUGAUUUGUCAAGAAACCAUCUAAUUGGUUCAAUUCCAUGGAGUCUUACUCAAAUUGAUCGACUCGGCGUGUUAGAUUUGUCACAUAACAAUCUAUCUGGAGAAAUUCCAACUGGUACACAAUUACAGAGUUUCAAUGCCUCAUGUUAUGAAGAUAAUCUUGAUCUUUGUGGACCGCCACUAGAGAAAUUGUGUAUUGAUGGGAAGCCUGCACAGGAACCAAUUGUUAAACUUCCUGAAGAUGAAAAUUUGCUUUUCACCCGUGAAUUUUACAUGAGUAUGGCAAUUGGAUUUGUUAUAAGCUUUUGGGGCGUUUUUGGCUCAAUCUUAAUGAAUCGUUCUUGGAGACAUGCUUAUUUCAAGUUCAUAAGCAAUUUAUCAGACGCUAUUUAUGUCAUGGUAGCAGUGAAAGUUUUCAAGUGGCGUCACAGACGAUAGCUGGUAACAAUAUUUUAGUCUUCGUAUAUAUACUUCAUUUUCCUUUAUAUGAUAAAUAUAGUCACAAACCANNNNNNNNNNNNNNNNNNNNNNNNNNNNNNNNNNNNNNNNNNNNNNNNNNNNNNNNNNNNNNNNNNNNNNNNNNNNNNNNNNNNNNNNNNNNNNNNNNNNNNNNNNNNNNNNNNNNNNNNNNNNNNNNNNNNNNNNNNNNNNNNNNNNNNNNNNNNNNNNNNNNNNNNNNNNNNNNNNNNNNNNNNNNNNNNNNNNNNNNNNNNNNNNNNNNNNNNNNNNNNNNNNNNNNNNNNNNNNNNNNNNNNNNNNNNNNNNNNNNNNNNNNNNNNNNNNNNNNNNNNNNNNNNNNNNNNNNNNNNNNNNNNNNNNNNNNNNNNNNNNNNNNNNNNNNNNNNNNNNNNNNNNNNNNNNNNNNNNNNNNNNNNNNNNNNNNNNNNAAAUCUUGAUAUUUUAAAAACCAUCUUUUAGAAUUUUGUUAAUACUGUAAUAUAAUCAAUUUUUGAUAAAUAUUUUUCUAAAAAGUAUAUAAUAAGUUCAAAGAGUCUAAUUACUAAUUAGUAUUAACUUCAAUGUGUUGAAGUUUUACAUGGGAAUCUAUUAAUAUUAAUAUAUUUAAUUUUAUUUAUUUUUAUACCAUUUCAUAUUAGUUAAAUAAAUUAAAGAAAUGAUUAUUAAUAUUGUUAUAUUAAAUUGAGUAGGUUAUAAAACUUCUUUACACUAACAUUUCAUAUUAAACAAAUCAAAAUACUUUUACCUAUUUUCUAAUCCCAAAAUAAUAGCUACAUACAAAUAAAGUAUAUUGUUUUUCUUGAUAUAUAUUUUUCCUCCUUAUAAAUACUUUUACCUAUUUUCUAUCUCACGUUCUACUUUUUGAUAUAGCUUUUAGUGUUGGUGAUUUUCUUGGCAUUCCAAUUUUUUCUCUAUUCUUUUAUUAUUUCUAGUUGAGGACAAAUUUUGAAGGAUCGAUAUUUUAAUUUUUGGCAGAAAAAUUCUGAAUUGUAGGUGCCAGCUUGUUGAGGUGGAAAAUGCAAAGAGACACUUUUAAUUUGGAGGUGAGAAGGCAUCUCUCACAGUUGGAUUUGGAGACCGAGAGAGAAUUAAGGAAGGCUUCUAGAGCUUGAGGGAGCCAAUUGUGAUUGUGAUCCAUCUAGUUUAUUUUCCUUUUUAAUUUCUAAGCAUUUUGUUUGUAGUUUGGCCUUUAAAUCUGAACUGGUUGUUUUGUAUGAAGUUGAUGAAUCUUCAUAAUAAUGGGAACUGAGAGGUUUGGUUAUUGCUUCUUCAUUUUUGGGUCAUGCUAUUUGAUUAUGUAGAAAUAGAAAACCGUGUUUGAUCUAGGGAUUUUGUGUUGCUUUUGUACAUUAGUCUCAUGAUUUCAUUUAAGGAAUUAAGUUAUAUGAGAUUAAAAGGAUUCAUUGCCAAGGAAUUGAAUGUCAAUUACCGCUGCAAAAACUGAUCUUAAACUUGGGCAAAGUUGUUUGGACUAGGUGGAAAUUGGGUUGUUACUUCAACAAUCCGUAAAAUCAAAACUUAACUGUGACAGGUGUGAGCACUAUGUCCCUUCUUUGAGCAGAGUUGGCAAAUACACACUUGAGAUACAUCUCAUAGUUCUGCAAUUUAACAAAUACCUCAUCAAAAGAGGGCAAGGUGCUUUGCCAAUGACAUAGCCUUCAAGGUCACGAAUAAGCUUAGACUGAUACCAUAUAGAGAAUGAAUAAGUUGUUUAUUUUAAACACAAUUUGAAUACAAGGCAGCAACAUUUAUAAAGUUGUCUGUUACAGUUAGAUAAGAUAGAAGUUUUCUAAUUUUAAUUAUUAAGCAGUACAGUUGCACAAUCAAUUUACAAAAUUCUGAUUAUAUAAUACAGCAUACCUAAAAUGUUUGGUGUAAAAUAUUCCUACUUCCUACAAAGCCAUUGCAUCUUCCAAAACCAUGCAUGACAUAAUAUAAAUCCCCUAACACAGGUGCUCAUUUGUUUGUAGACAACCCAAACGAAAACUGAGAACCCAUUCCCAAACAUAGUGCAUGACGAUCCACACGUCCUUUAGAGAAGAUGUGUGUGGUAGAACUUGUGAUUUUCUGGGAAUCAUGAUAUCCCUGUGACAUUUGGGAUAUAGUGAGACAUUUGGGCAUGCUUUGAGUUCAACAUCUCUGAUGAAGGACUUCUUUCUUUGUUAAAGGUAUCAUUGAGGAUGAAUGGUCACAAAUCCAAAAAUAAAUGUAGCAUUCCACAAUCUAAAGGAAGUAAGUGAGCUGUUGUUUCUUCCUCGAACCUCCUUCACCAUACAAAUCAUUCCAGUGCUUCAACUCAUUCAUUACAGAUCCUUCUGAUGCAAAACUUGCAGCCUCUUGCAUUUAAUCAGAUAUCCGUAAGUUCAUGAAUUUACAAAGUUUACCGCAAACCCAACAUCUUUUUUAAAGAGGCAAAAAUACUCAAAUAAAUAAUCACUCAAUUUAUCUUUUUUAUGUUUCAUGCAUCUUAUGUUGGGUUUCUGACUUAUUUGAUGGUGUUUGAAUAACAUGUGAGUAAAUUUUGCUAAUGUUGUGGUAGGUCUCCAACUUUCUUUACUUGGUAACGUUUAUCACAACCAAAAUCUUUUCUGAAAAGGGAGUCAAAAUGUUCAAAUAAAUGAGCAUUCAAUUCUUUUUUUUUUCCUGAAUGAAUAUUACACAUUACUCGAAUCGUUUUAAUGCUUUAAGCGAUUCUCUCUAUUAUAUUUUUUAAAAUUCAAUAUCAUUUCAAGGUUUAACACUUUAACGACUCUUAUUCACACAAUUAAAUACAAAUCAUUCAAAAAAAGAUAAAAUCAACCAACACACAAGUUAUUUUUUACCCAAAGAACUACAUAAGUCUGAUUUUCUCAUUACACAUGAGGAUAUGUAUGAAUAAGGGAAAACCCCUUGUUGACCUAAAACACUAGGAAAAAAAAUAUGAAAUUUCCUCUUUACUAAAAAUAAAAAUUUGUUUUAAUUUUUAAAUUAAACAAAAUAUAGCAAACAUAAUUCAUGUUCUAAAGGGAAGAUAAAUAAUUAAGAAGUCGCUUUUAUUUUUAUUAGACUAAAUUAAAGGUUGUCAUCUUCAUGACGGAUAAGUGAGGUGUUAAUACCUUUCACGUAAAUAAUUUUUGAAUCCUUUUUUUUUCUCAAAUUGUAAAUCAUUUCAUAUUUUUUUUUUGCUUUUUUAACGUUUUCCUUAAAUAAACGUUGAUGACGACUUCUCAAUUUUCUUUUGAAAAACUCACUUGACUGCCACAUUGGGACAAUGACAAUAUUAUUUACAAAAGAAAUAAUAAUAAUAAUAAUGAUAAUAUGUUGUGGAAAACAUAAAUCAUAUUUCUUUUUUUUAAAGAAAAUAAAUUCAUAUUUUUUGUUUUCAGUGUUACUUACAAAAAUGCUACUUUUGAGUCCUAUUCUCAAAAUUUUAAAUAAGAGAGAAAAAUGUUGUAAAAAAGUAUACCAAAAAAGUUAUAAUUUUUUAUUCAAAAAAGAUAAGAUGUUACUUCCAUGUUUGGUUUGGUUUAAAAUAAAAAUUAUGAAACUUAAAAACUGAUUAUCAAAAAAUAACAAUAGGUUUGGGGAGUAGGCUCAUGCAUCGAUCAGUAAUAAAGAAAAAGCCAACACCUAUCAAAUUCUAAUUCAGAAUGUAAACAAAACUAAACCUGGAUUGGAUUAGAAAAAAAAUACUCAAACUAAAGUAAAAUCGUCGUUCAAGUAUAUAGUAUACACAUCUAGAGAAUCAGCACCAAAGUUUCAAGAUACAACCAUUAAGUUAGUUCCGGUUCAAGUUGUCAUUUCAGCAAACACUAUAAUUUUCAAAAGCAAAAACAAUUCUCCCUAAUUACCACCAAGUUUGGUUGGUGACAAAACUUAUAAGUUUGAAUGGUUUAAGACUUAGGAUUUUUUUCUGUGCAAGAUAUCAAGAUCAAUAAAUAUUGUCUGAAUUAUGAAUUAUAUACUAUCACAGAUUUAAUAAUAAAGUAGUCUUAUCAUUCUUAUAAUUAAAAGAAAAAAAUAUGUUAUCUUUUAUUUUUUAUAUAAAAGACCGUACGUAGGUAGUAUAUUAUACAGAACUUACAUAAGCACCACUUUUGUUGACACAGAAUUCCUUCAAAAGAAAUUAUCAAUCAAAAUCAAUGAAGUAAUAGUCUGUAUAUUACGUUAGCAAAAUAUAGACAAAGGUCAAUGUGGGUAUCUUGCGAAUUUUCUAAGUCUUUUUGUUUUGUUCCCAAGUACAAAGUCUAUUUAUGGGUCAUGUCACUUCACAAAAUUUUCCACAUUUGUUGUUUAGCGCAAUGACUGGAAUCUUAAAUUCUAAGUCUUUAUGGUUUUGUUUGGUUCCUACAUAGUCAUAUAAAUGGUCAUGUCACUAUAAAAAAAAUUUCACAUCUAUUAUUUUUGUAGGUAGUGCGAUGACUGGAGUAUUUUCUACGUCUUUCUUUGUUUUGUUCCAAUGGAGUCGUGUAAGGACCAUAUUACUUAUAAAAAAAUUUUAUACUUAAUUGUUUUUUAUGUAAUGUGAUGUUGAUUGGAGUGCUUCUUAAGUCUUUCUUUGUUUUGUUUCCGGAAAGUCAUACAAGGGCAUGCCACUUAAUAAAAAUUAAUUUCCAAUUCUCUGUUUGCAAAGUCAAUAAAUUUAUUCUAGAUGAAGAUAUAUAAUCACAGAACAUUUAGGAAAGCUACACAAAUGGAUGAGAAGAUUUAGAAGUUGUUGCGGAAGAUGCUGUAAAGGAAAAUACUUGAGGAAGCUCUGUUAUGAAUUAAAAUUAAAAAUGAGACCAAAUAAAUUCAGACACGACAUAGGCUUCUCUUGGUAUUUUUUAAUUUGUUAAGUAUGAGGAAUACUUUGUAAUUAACAUAUUCUGAAUCCAACAUAUAGCAAAAAUUGAUGAAAUAGAAGAUUCCUCCCUGUGACGUAAUAGAACUGCAAAUGAUGUAACUAUGAUAAGUCUUAUGGCACAAAAUAUUAAUAUGAACACGUACUCAAUUUGUAAUUCCUUAGAGAUUAAGGUGUAUAUAUAUUUCCAAAAAAAAUGUCAAGGGAGGUUAAAAAGAAAAAGAAAGGGGUGUAUAUAUAUUAAGUUUUAAUCUCAAUGAUAUAUUAUUUUUAAUCUUAAACCAAUAUUUUUUAUUUUUUUUUUCAAUUUUAGUCUUCAAACUGAUCUUUCUCUUAAGAUUAUGAUAUGACUCAUCUCCACUCAAACAAAUAAUACACACAAUAGACUUUAUUUUGAAUCUUUCUCCCCACACAGACAGAAAAAAAAAAAGGCUCACACCAUUCACAUUUUUACAUGUAUAAUAGAAUAUAGUGGCUUUUUCCAAUUUUUGAAUGUCAUUACUCUUUUUAAGUACGAUAUUCUAUUAGCUAUGUUUGUCAAUCAUAUAUUAUUUUCAUGAAAAAUUGAUGAUAUAUUUUUUCAAGUCCUAUUAAUUAAUAAAUUUAUUCUAUAUUUGAUAUUUGAUAUAUUGAUGUAUAGUAAUAAUAAAAUUAUAGCCAAUUAAGAAUUUUAAAAAUUGUAGAAAGUAUUGAUUUUUGGUGUGAAUGGAAUUGUUUUAAUAUAUUGAAUAUUUUAGUUUUUCUCUCAAUAUUCUCUUCUUCCUUUUUUUGAAUAUAUAUAUAUAUAUAUAUAUAUAUAUAUAUAUAUAUAUAUAUAUAUAUAUAUAUAUAUAUUCUUCUUCCUUAAGAACAUGAACAUGCUCACUUUAAUAAAAAAAAAUUAUUUAUGGGUCUAUUGAUAUCUGGGGCAAAUAGAUUAAUUAACUUUAGAUUUGAAUGUCCUCUUCAAGUAUGAUAUACUUUUUUAAACCUAAUUUUUUCUUCUUCAAUAAGAACAUGGUCACUUUUUCCAACUAAACCCAAUUUGAAUGCCAAUUCAAGCACGGUAUGAUUUUAAUGUCAAUUACAUAUAAUUUGAAGUCCUGCACUUGUUUAGGAUGAUUUGGAUGAAAAUAAAUUGGGAAGAAGUGAAGGAAAAUGAUAUGGAAACUUUUGGUUUAGAUGGGAUGGAAAUUAAAAUGAAGUAAAAAUAAAUUUAUUGGAGUCCAAAAAAAAAUCCUCAAAAACAGUGGUGAAAUGGAGGAUUAUGUUUGAAGUAAUAUUAAUUUUACGGGAGGAUUCCUAAAUAAUAUAAAAUUCACUCAUUUUUUUUCAUUUUUAUUUAUCCAAAAAAAAAGAUAAAUUUUCCACUUCGUUUCUCUCUUAUUUCUAUCUUUUUUUUCUCUUUCAUUUUUUUCUAUUUCAUCUCUAAUCCAAAUAAAGUGCAAAAGUAACGGAUGAGUUAAUCUUUUUAAAAGUUUUUUUUUCUUUCAAAGUGCUAUUUUUUGCUUUCAUAAAUUGCAAAUUUUGUGCUUAUUAAUUUUCUAAUUAUUUUAAAUAUGAAAUUGCAUUACGAUAUACGAUCAACUUUGUGUGACUUGUUGACUGGAGACUUUUCCAAGUCUCCCCUUGAUAUAUAUCGUUUAGAAUGUUACAUUAUUUUUAAGUCUUUUUUAUUUAUUUAUUUGGUUAUAUAUUAAAUUGAAAAAUAAAAAGAAAAGUGGGAACUUAACUAGGAACUGUGCUGUUGUUGUGUGGGAACCUAAGUACAUUUUAGCAUCUUUAAACUGAAAACAAUUUAGUCAAAAUGCGUAACAAAAUAUAGGUCAAGUAAUUAGUGGACAAAAUCUUGCUGUCACCAUAGAUUUAGGUUGUAUUUAGGUCAAUUACUUAAAAUAUUGUUAAUUGAUAGUUGAAACUUUAGAUGAAAUUAAAAAGUUUGAAUUAUUCUAAAAAUAGUUGUGGUAGAAGCAAACAUGACCACAGAAGUCCUAACUAUUAUUUAGACGUGUUAUAGUACCACCAAUACGAGGUCUGAUUGGAAAUUAGCUGUGUGUCGAACCCAUCUCAUAGCGUGCAUGCGUGCUCCAAAUCUCUUUAACAAAUUAAAUACCAAGCUUUUUUUAUCCAAUUUCUUCUUUUUUAUCUUUUGUUUAUCCGUAAGAAUCAAAGAUAAUAACAAAAGAUAUAUAAUAAUUUAUAAAUCUUAUUCAACCAGCUAAACUAAAUCCCCUAGCUAUCCAAAUCCGUUUAACUUUUAAAUAACAAAAUAAAAGUUAUACACACUUUUAUAUUUCAACAUUUUUACCAUUAUUCAUAGUUUUAGUUACUUGUUUAUAUUUUAGAAACGUCAUAAUACUUACGUCUUUUGCUUUUAUAUUUAUAACAUAAAUAUAUAGAAUAUAACAUGUAUAAUAUAAAUAAUAUAAAAAGAGCUGAUAAUUUAAAAAAACGGGAAAGAAAUAAUUAUAAAAUAAACAUAACUAAUCAGACUAUUUGCAUCAAAAGAAAUUAUUUGAAUAUAUUUUACAUACUUGGAAGAAUUUAUGAGUGGCCCAACCGUUGAGAAAUGUGACUUCCAUUAACCAUCCCGAUGUUAUAUAUAUGCAUUCCUAUUGGCAGUGCUAAAGUCAUCAGUAUCAUUCUAAUUCUCAUAUUCAGUGGAUUCAUUUCAUCAAUCACUUUGCCUUUCUGAUCAUAAUCACCAAAAUGCCAACCAUGAAUCCAGUUCGUUUCAAAUACAUGCAAGCCAUAAUAAUAUUUAUGAUGUUGCAGGUUCGUUCAUGUUUUCUCAUUUGAAUGUAUUUGUGAAAAUCGCAAUUCAAAUCUCAUUUGAUUUCAAUGAAUUUCAAUUUCCUUAAAUUUUUAUUCAGUUUUGUCAUUUUUUUCUUCUUAAAAUAGAUCAUUCUCCUAUGUUUUGUUCAUUGUUUUUUGGGUUCAUAAUGUUUCGGAUUGAAUUAGAGGUUGAAGCACCGUUUGUUUUGCCCCCUUAUUUUUUGUUUUCAAGGUUGAACCAUGGUAUAUGUAGAUGUUGAACCAUCAAAUAUGAUAGUGGCAACAAGACAUAAAUAGUGAUGACAAAGAUAAUGACAACAAUAAUAAAGACAAGGAUAAUAAUAAUAUUACAUUCUAUGUUUAUAAUUAAGUUUUAAUUUCAAUGAUAUAUUAUUUUUAAUUUUAAUUCAAUAAUUUCAAUGAUAUAUUAUUUUUAAUCUUAAUUCAAUAAUUUUCAUUUUUUCCCAUUUUAACCUUCAAAAUGAUCUUUCUCUUAAGAUUCUAAUAUAAUCCAUUUUGACUUAAACAAAUGAAAGAUACAAUAAAUUUUAUUUUCAAUCUUUCUCUUCGUACGCACACACAAAAAAGGCUCACACCAUGCAUACACUUUUUUAUGUGUAGAGUAGAAUAUAGUGGCUUUUUCCAAUUUUUGAAUGUCAUUACUCUUUUUAAGUUCUAUUAGCUAUAUUUGUCAAUCAUACAUUAUUUUCAUGACAAAUUGAUGAUAUAUUUUUUCAAAUCAUCCCUUGAAAGUGUCAUAGUAUUAAUUUUUUAUUAUAUUAAGGAGUACAUAUUUUGGUUGAUAUAUAAGACAAAUAUAAAAUUGAUAUUAAGAAAUUUAUUUUAUACUUGAUAUUUAAUAUAUUGAUGUAUAGGAAUAAUGAAAUUAUAGCCAAUUAAGAAUUUUAAAAAUUAUAGAAAGUAUUGGGUUUUGGUGUGAAUUUAAUUGGAAUUGAAUUGUUUCAAUUUAUUGAAUAAUUUAGUUCUUUUUUCUCAAUAUUCUCUUCUUCAUUUUUUUAAAGCAUUUAUGUAUAUAUAUAUAUAUAUAUAUUNNNNNNNNNNNNNNNNNNNNNNNNNNNNNNNNNNNNNNNNNNNNNNNNNNNNNNNNNNNNNNNNNNNNNNNNNNNNNNNNNNNNNNNNNNNNNNNNNNNNAAAAAAUCAUUUAUGGGUCUAUGGUAUCUAGGACAAAUAGAUUAAUUAACUUUAAAUUGAAUGUCCUCUUCAAGCAUGGUAUUUGUUUUUAAACCCAAUUUCCUCUUCUUUGUUAAGAACAUGGUCACUUUCUUCAACUAAACCUACUUUGAAUGCCACUUCAAAAACGUUAUGAUUUUAUUGUCAAUUACAUAUAAUUUGAAGUCCUCCACUAGGAUCAUUUGGAAGGAAAUAAAUUGGGAUGAAGUGAGGAACUUUUGGUUUAGAUGGACUGAAAAUAAAAUGAAGUAAAACAAAUUUAGUGGGGUAAAAAAAAUGAAAUGGGAACUUUUGAUUUAGAUGGGAUGGAAAUGAAAAUGAAGUAAAAACAAAUUUAGUGGGGUCCAAAAAAAAAUUGAUUCCUCAAAAAUAGUGGUAAAAUGGGAGGAUUUUGUGAGAAGCAAUAUUAAUUUUAUGGGAGGGUUCUUAAAAAAAACACUCAUUUUUUACUAUUUCUAUUUAAACAAUAUAAAUUCUCUACCUUGUUUCUCUUUUAUUUCUAUCUUUUUUUCUCUUUCAUUUUUCUCUAUUUCAUCUCUAAUCCAAACAAAGUGCAAAAGUUACGGAUGAGUAAUCUUUUUAGUUUUUUUUAAAACCUUUUUUUUUGCAACUUCUUGACUGGAGACUUUUCCAAGUCUUCCCUUGAUAUAUAUCGUUUAGAAUGCUACAUUAUUUUUAUUUAAUUGGUUAAAUAUUAAAUUGGAAAAUAAAAGAAAAAUGGAAACAUAAACAGCAAUUGUGUCAUUGUUGUGUAGUGAUCGUCACUUUUACUCAUAAGAAUAUAUAUAUAUAUAUAUAUUUUUUUUACUAAAGUACAUUUUAGCAUCUUUAAACUGAAAAUCUUUCAGUCAAAAUGCAUAACAAAAUAUGGGUCAAGUAAUUAGUGCACAAAGUCUUGCUCAUAAUUUUUGCCACCAUAGAUUCAGGUUGUGUUUCGGACUAUUACUUAAAAUAUUGUUAAUUGAUAGUUAAAAUUGUAGAUGAAAUUAUAAAGUUUGAAAGUUGAAAAGUUAAAAACUGAAAGCUGAAAAUAUAUAAGCCAAUGGAUUCAAUUAUAUUUGAAGUAUUUUAUAAUAUUAUCUAAUAAAUAAAUUUUCUCCUAACUUCUCUUUUAAAUAUAUACCAAUUUUAUUGGUUAAUGUUUGUAAAAAAAUAAUAUGAACUAAUAAAAUUGUUACAUAUUUAAAAGAGAAGUUAGGAACAAAAUUUAUUUUAAAAUUAAAAUAAAAAUUCAAUGGCUUUUGGAUGAAAGUUUUCGUUCAAAAAUUUCCCUUAAAAUAAUUAUUUUUCUAAAGUAGUUGUGGUAGAAGCAAACAGAAGUCAUAAUUAUUAUUUAGAAGUGUUGUAUGCCGAACCCAUCUCAUAGCGGCCAUGUUUAUAUGCUUCAAAUCUUUUCAGCAAAUUAAAUACCAAGCUAAGAUUUUUCUUUUAUCCAAUUCUCCCCUUCUUCUCCUUUAUUUUUUUUAUCUAUUGAAAUCAAAGAUAAUAUCAAAAAAUUUAUAUUAAUUUCCAACUAAUUAAAUUAACCCCCUAGACUAUUCAAAUUAUUUUAACUUUUAAAUAACAAAAUAAAAGUUAUACACACAUUUAUAUUCAAACAUUUUUACCAAUAUUCAUAGUUUUAGUUACUUGUUUAAAUUUUUAAAAUGUCAUAAUAAUUACUUCUUUUGCUUUUAUAUUUAUAACAUAAAUGCAUAGAAUAUAACAUGUUUAAUAUAAAUAAUAAAAAAGGAGCUGAUAGAAUAUUAAAAAAGCGGGAAAGAAAUAAUUAUAAAAUCAACAUAACUAAUCAAACUAUUUGGGUCAAAAGAAAUUAUUUGAAUAUAUUUUUCAUACUUGCGUAAAAUUUAUAUUAGUAAAUUUAGAGGAAAUACAAAAUUAUUUUAACUAAUUUCCAUAAAUUUUAUUGAAGAGUUUUUUUUAUAUAUUUUAUCCGUGUAUUACAAAUUUUUUAAAAUUAAAUAUCCUAAAAGGAUUUUUUUUAUUAAAAGUAUGAAUAUCUAAAACUUUUUUUUACUGUUAUUUAUUAAAAGUAAAAAAUAAACUCCAGUUGGUUUGAAAUUCAUGGAAGGCAUAAUAAUAUUAAUGAUGUUGCAGGUUGUUGUUUCUGCUCAAGACCAUAUUAUGUGCAUUCAGACUGAGAGGGAAGCACUCCUCCAAUUCAAGGCUGCCCUUGUGGAUGACUAUGGCAUGCUCUCUUCUUGGACCACUUCUGAUUGCUGCCAAUGGCAAGGGAUUCGCUGCUCCAACCUCACCGGCCAUGUUCUAAUGCUCGACCUUCACGGUCAGCUUAGAUUUUCACAUGCCUUCGCUGAUGAUAUCACUGAUAUUGGCUGGCAACGUUAUAUGAGAGGAGACAUCCACAAGUCGUUGAUGGAGUUGCAACAAUUAAAGUAUUUAAACCUCAGUUGGAAUUCUUUUCAAGGCAGAGGAAUCCCAGAGUUUCUUGGUUCUCUCACCAACUUGAGAUACCUUGAUCUGGAAUAUUGUCGUUUUGGCGGAAAAAUUCCAACUCAGUUUGGCUCUCUUUCUCAUUUGAAAUACUUAAAUCUUGCUUUGAAUUCUCUGGAGGGUUCAAUCCCUCGUCAACUUGGAAAUCUCUCCCAGUUGCAGCAUCUUGAUCUCAGCGCCAAUCAUUUUGAAGGAAAUAUACCCUCUCAAAUUGGAAAUCUCUCCCAGUUGCUGCAUCUUGAUCUCAGCUACAAUUCUUUUGAAGGAAGUAUACCGUCCCAACUUGGGAACCUUUCAAAUUUGCAGAAGCUUUAUCUUGGAGGAUCACAUUAUUAUGAUGAUGCUUAUGGUGGUGCUCUCAAAAUUGACGAUGGAGAUCAUUGGGUGUCUAAUCUCAUUUCUUUAACCCAUCUUUCCUUGGUCUUCAUAUCUAAUCUCAACACUUCUCAUAGCUUCCUCCAAAUGAUUGCCAAGCUACCAACACUUAGAGAACUGAGUUUAAGUGAAUGUAGCCUUUCCGAUCAGUUUAUCCUUUCAUUGAGGCCCUCCAAAUUCAAUUUUUCUAGUUCCCUUUCCAUCCUUGAUCUUUCCUGGAACAGCUUCACGUCAUCAAUGAUACUCCAGUGGCUGUCCAACGUCACUUCCAACCUUGUUGAGCUUCACCUUAGUUAUAACCUCUUGGAGGGUUCCACAUCAUCAAAUCAUUUUGGCAUUGUCUUGAAUUCACUUCAGCACCUUGACCUUAGUUAUAACCUCUUGGAGGGUUCCACAUCAUCAAAUCAUUUUGGCAUUGUCUUGAAUUCACUUCAGCACCUUGACCUUAGUCAUAACCUCUUGGAGGGUUCCAUAUCAAACCAUUUUGGCCGUGUAAUGAAUUCUCUUGAGCACCUCGACCUCUCAUAUAAUAUAUUCAAGGGUGAGGAUUUCAAAUCCUUCGCGAAUAUAUGCACCUUACAUUCUUUAUACAUGCCAGCAAACCUUUUGACUGAAGACCUUCCAUCAAUCCUUCAUAAUUUGUCUAGUGGUUGUGUUAGACACUCAUUACAAGAUUUGGAUUUGUCAGAUAAUCAAAUCACCGGCUCUUUACCCGACCUUUCAGUAUUCUCAUCUCUAAGAUCAUUGUUUCUUGAUGGAAAUAAAUUAAGUGGAAAGAUACCUGAAGGCAUCCGCUUACCAUUUCAUUUGAAAUCUCUGUCAAUCCAAUCAAACUCUUUAGAAGGUGGAAUUCCCAAAUCAUUUGGGAACUCAUGUGCUUUGAGCUCACUGGAUAUGUCUGGUAACAAUUUGAAUAAAGAGCUUUCGGUGAUAAUUCAUCAAUUGUCUGGGUGUGCCAGAUUCUCGCUGCAAGAAUUGAACAUAGGAGGAAAUCAAAUCAAUGGUACGCUUUCUGAGCUUUCAAUAUUCUCUGCCUUGAAAACAUUGGAUCUUUCAGAAAAUCAAUUAAAUGGAAAAAUUCCAGAGAGUACCAAAUUGCCAUCUCUGUUAGAGUCUUUGUCAAUUGGAUCAAACUCUUUAGAAGGUGGAAUUCCCAAAUCAUUUGGGGAUGCAUGUGCUUUGUGCUCAUUGGACAUGUCUAAUAAUAGCUUGAGUGAAGAGUUUCCAAUGAUAAUCCAUCACUUGUCUGGAUGUGCUAGAUAUUCAUUGGAAAGAUUAGAUCUAGGCAUGAAUCAAAUCAACGGCACACUACCCGACCUCUCAAUAUUCUCAUCUUUAAGAGAAUUAAAUCUUGAUGGAAACAAGCUAUAUGGAGAGAUUCCUAAAGAUUAUAAAUUUCCACCUCAACUGGAGAGACUAGAUAUGCAAUCAAAUUUCUUAAAGGGUGUGCUCACUGACUAUCAUUUCGCUAAUAUGUCAAAAUUAGACAUAUUGGAGUUAUCUGACAACUCUUUAGUGACCUUGGCAUUUAGCCAAAAUUGGGUCCCACCAUUUCAGUUGCGCUUCAUAGGAUUGCGAUCCUGCCAGCUAGGUCCAGUAUUUCCCAAAUGGUUGAAGACACAAAAUCAAUUUCAGGGUAUUGACAUUUCAAAUGCUGGAAUAGCAGAUAUGGUUCCAAAGUGGUUUUGGGAUAAUUUAGCAUUCCGAGAAUGGAUUUCAAUGAAUAUUUCAUACAAUAAUCUCCAUGGUAUAAUUCCAAAUUUUCCAAUAAGGAAUAUUCAACAUUCCCUAAUUCUUGGAUCAAAUCAAUUUGACGGCCCUAUUCCACCAUUUCUGCGAGGUUUCCUGUUUCUUGAUUUAUCCAAAAAUAAAUUCUCAGAUUCUCUUUCAUUUUUAUGUGUGAAUGUUAAAGUUGAAACUUUGUACCAAUUAGACCUUUCAAAUAAUCGUUUCUCUGGAAAAAUUCCGGACUGUUGGAGCCAUUUCAAGUCAUUAAUUUAUUUGGACUUAAGUCACAAUAAUUUUUCAGGAAGGAUACCCACAUCCAUGGGAUCUCUUCUUCAGCUUCAAGCAUUGCUAUUGAGAAACAACAACUUAACAGAUGAGAUACCUUUCUCCUUGAGGAGUUGUACAAAUCUAGUAAUGCUAGAUAUUGCAGAAAACAGAUUAUCAGGGCUUAUCCCUGCUUGGAUUGGGAGCGAAUUACAAGAGUUGCAAUUUUUAAGUUUGGGAAGAAAUAAUUUCCAUGGAAGUUUACCAUUGCCAAUUUGCUACCUAAGCGACAUUCAACUCUUGGAUGUCUCACUAAACAGCAUGUCUGGGCAAAUUCCUAAAUGCAUAAAAAAUUUUACUUCAAUGACUCAAAAGACAUCU
This 15171-nucleotide long non-coding RNA is filed under the name Glycine max (soybean). RNAcentral describes it as "long non-coding RNA (GMAX_LNC003751)". The record is from RNAcentral. Lineage: Eukaryota; Viridiplantae; Streptophyta; Magnoliopsida; Fabales; Fabaceae.